Molecule: ribosomal RNA, 465 nt
Filed under: uncultured bacterium
Lineage: Bacteria
Description: partial 16S ribosomal RNA
Rfam family: Bacterial small subunit ribosomal RNA
Source: RNAcentral
GACGAAUGAUGGCGGCGUGCUUAACACAUGCAAGUCGAACGGAAAGGCCCCUUUGGGGGUACUCGAGUGGCGAACGGGUGAGUAACACGUGAGUAACCUGCCCUUGACUUCGGGAUAACUUCAGGAAACUGGGGCUAAUACCGGAUAGGAAUCCUUGCUGCAUGGUGGGGGUUGGAAAGCUUCGGCGGUUUUGGAUGGACUCGCGGCGUAUCAGCUUGUUGGUGGGGUAGUGGCUUACCAAGGCUUUGACGGGUAGCCGGCCUGAGAGGGCGACCGGCCACAUUGGGACUGAGAUACGGCCCAGACUCCUACGGGAGGCAGCAGUGGGGAAUAUUGCACAAUGGGCGGAAGCCUGAUGCAGCAACGCCGCUGGCGGGAUGACGGCCUUCGGGUUGUAAACCUCUUUCAGCAGGGGCGAAGCUUGUGGUGACGGUACCUGCAGAAGAAGCACCGGCUAACUCCGUG